GCUGUUGUGGCUCAGUAGGUAGAGCACGUCCUUGGUAAGGACGAGGUCACGGGUUCAAAUCCCGUCAACAGCUCCA
Molecule: transfer RNA, 76 nt
Filed under: Clostridiales bacterium
Lineage: Bacteria; Bacillati; Bacillota; Clostridia; Eubacteriales
Also listed under: 1 other name
Description: tRNA-Thr
Rfam family: tRNA
About the family: Transfer RNA (tRNA) molecules are approximately 80 nucleotides in length. Their secondary structure includes four short double-helical elements and three loops (D, anti-codon, and T loops).
Source: RNAcentral